This 65-nucleotide transfer RNA is filed under the name Thrips hawaiiensis. RNAcentral describes it as "tRNA-Arg". Lineage: Eukaryota; Metazoa; Arthropoda; Insecta; Thysanoptera; Thripidae. The record is from RNAcentral.
AAUAAGAAAGCAAUGUAUUUGUUUUUAGUUUCGACCUAAAAGAAAGUAAAUUUUUACUCUUAUUA